RNAcentral lists this ribosomal RNA (274 nucleotides) under uncultured bacterium. RNAcentral describes it as "partial 16S ribosomal RNA". It matches the Rfam family "Bacterial small subunit ribosomal RNA", at positions 523 to 796 of the family's 1533-position model. The record is from RNAcentral.
CUACGGAGGGAGCAAGCGUUAUUCGGAAUCACUGGGCGUAAAGGACGCGGAGGCGGGUUUGGAAGUCAGGCGUGAAAUCCUACAGCUCAACUGUAGAACUGCACUUGAAACUACAGACCUAGAGUAUGGAAGGGGCAGAUGGAAUUAGUGGUGUAGGGGUAAAAUCCGUAGAUAUCACUAGGAAUACCGAAAGCGAAGGCGAUCUGCUGGGACAUUACUGACGCUGAGGCGUGAAAGCGUGGGGAGCAAACAGGAUUAGAAACCCCAGUAGUCC